This is a non-coding RNA of Pelobates cultripes (western spadefoot toad), 1059 nucleotides long. Lineage: Eukaryota; Metazoa; Chordata; Amphibia; Anura; Pelobatidae. The record is from the annotation of a GenBank genome assembly.
GGGGGCUAUCCCUGCAUGAAAAUGUGUCUCGUGUCUCCCCUCAUGCCACUGUUCCCACGUGAGAAUAAGGAGUAGUGUGAAGCCUCUGUAGGGCCAUACCCAAUACACCAACAACAGGCACCCGUGGGUACCAACAUAUGCACUAACACCCGACACCAGGUACAGCCCCCCACCAUGAGCUUCUUUGUACAGCACUCGAGGGACCCCCCAGUCGAUGAGACCCCCCUCUCCUAGAGUCUACCAACCGGAUGGCCUCUUAACCUCCAAUGUCCCGGCAGAGUCUCAGUAAAUCAGACAUGGCGCCUCUGUGGGCCUCCUCUAUCGCCAGCCACUUCUCCUAAGCAUGGUCCACAUGGCCCCGCAGCCACCGGUCCACCGCAGUCCCCCACAAUCCAGCCGGCCAGCGUCACAGCAACGGACAGCUACACCCUCUAGGCCUCCGGAUGCCACUGCUUGUGGGCAAUCCCCUCGUUGCACCUGAGUGAUACGUCGGCAGUUUCCUGGGUGAGUGUGUUGAGAGUCGUCUUAUCCACUCCUUGGUAAGGCAGGAAGGGAGUUUUCACAGUGUGGGUGCUGCCUCCCAUAUAGCGGCUGGGUACAUACAGGCAAAGCUAUGUCCAACAUCUCGCAAUUGCAGGCUGAGAAACAUGAACUUGUGCGUGGAAACUUGCGGUAUAAAACUUGCAGUUUAAAACCAGGAAACAAGUGACUGGAAUAAACCCCCCGGUUCUGGGGAGGUGCAGGGCUGCAGUGUGGUCUCUCCGGUCACCUUUUGUACAUUGGGAAAGACAGGUACUGCCAUAUCAUGAUUGUUCACGGAGCAUGUGCAGAGUGUUUCCAAUCUCAGCAAUAGGCCGCAUGUUCAUGCCAUCAAGUAGGCCCGUGCCUUCAUAUUCCUCACAUUUGUGGGGUCUGUAGCUGCCGACUGGUCUCCUUGUAAUGCUGGCUGGUUUCUCUAUUCAGAUAUAUUCUUUUGAGGGGCAGAUGGUCGGUUUAUGAGUGGUAAAUCAGUGUUUAUUUGGGCUCAGGACCGGAGCUGCAUGAGUGGCUUCCUUUCAG